RNAcentral lists this unclassified non-coding RNA (244 nucleotides) under Hevea brasiliensis (rubber tree). Lineage: Eukaryota; Viridiplantae; Streptophyta; Magnoliopsida; Malpighiales; Euphorbiaceae. The record is from RNAcentral.
AAAUGUUCGAUGUAAUGUACAAGUAAGUGCAUUUGAAAGAAGUUGGCUUGUGCUCAUCAUGGAGGAUAAUUAUUCAAUAGCCUGGUAGACGAUGGAAGUUGUUAUCCUGCUUCGUGGUUGUAGUUUAAUUGUGCUCCUUGGGUGGCUUAGUUAUUGAGUUUUGUAUUUUAGUCAGAAAUUAUUGCUGUUAUUUGGUAAAUGAAUGUUUUCUCCCUCAAUUUGUUAUUACAUUCUAGGAUGUUCG